This 1035-nucleotide unclassified non-coding RNA is filed under the name Hevea brasiliensis (rubber tree). The record is from RNAcentral. Lineage: Eukaryota; Viridiplantae; Streptophyta; Magnoliopsida; Malpighiales; Euphorbiaceae.
UGUGCCAACAAUAAAUAGUCAAGACGGUAAGCAAUCCAACAGAAAAAGGAAUUAAAAUGAGUUUCUGAAUAAUCAAUUAAGUAGAAAAUAAAAAGUACACAACAACAACUUUUAACAUCAUUGCUGGAAUUCAUAUUAUGAAUCAUUAUUUCUUUUCCAAAACUGAGAGAACUUUGCACACAAAGUUACAAUCAAUGUAAUGUGUACACUUGCAUUUAGGUAAAAAUCCAAGCAAGUAAUAGGGAGAACUAGGCAUUCUCAUUUACCAAUCUAAUCUACAUAUUCUCAUGCUGCAAUGAUAUGUACUUCAUACAAAAAAAUUAUGGACAAAUAUUGGUGUAAAAACAUUUUGAUUAUUGAGGAUGUUCAUUAAGUUUUUCCUCGAGUACUUGAAAAGUUUUGACAAGAAAAAGUGGGCAACAAAAUCAGCAUAUCAUACAUAUCAACAAAUUGUUCCUGGUACAGGCAAAGCUGAAACCUACCUAAUUCUAGCAAUGCUAUCGCUUACAAACAUUCUGCUUCAGGAGCAAAUCAAAUAGAAAUACAGGUGGAGCAAACAUAAAUCUAUUAAAGGAACAAAGUCUAAUCUGAUAUCUAGAAAAGGCGUGUUAUGGCAAUUUUUCAGUAAUACAAUAGCCAAUGUCAAACUCUCAAAAUAUUAAGACAGCACAUCAAAGGGACAUGUAAAACUUUCACAUGGAUGUCAAUGCAUGUAGCAAAUCCCUAAAGAUAGAAAUAAGACCUGUCCAAGAAAGCACAGGCCUUAUCUUUAAUCAUUUGAGCUGUGCACAAAUAAGCUAGAUAGCAUUUUAACACCAUUUUAAAUUCAAAUCGCAUCACAACAAUAUGAUCAUUAACAUCAUUAUACGGGCUUAGCCACCCGACUACGAUAAGAAAAUAUAUUAAUCAAGUGGUAACUAUUAGUAACACCAAUGCCUCAAAACCUGUAUUCUAGUCCAGCUAAGUUUGCAGCAUUUUAAAACUCAGUGAAAUUCCAUUUCACAAGGGCAAGUGGUAUCAUCUAUUACAUUAAAG